CGGAAGUGGCGUCCGGUGCUGGCUGUUAUCAACCCCGCGGCGGUGAGUCUGGCCCUUUGCGUUUCGCUGUGUCGGCGCCGGCUGGGUACGGCCUGUUGUCCCGCGGCGGAGGAGUGACUGAAGGGCGGUUCUGGUGGGGCGGACGGUUGGUUAGGCCCUGGUAAAGGUCCCCUGGUCGGUUGGGCCCUGGAGAGUCUCGGGGCCCGGUUGGCGGGGCCCGAGCGCUCGGUGAAGGCCCCGGUCGGCUGGGCUGUGGUGGCCUUCAGACCCACUGAGGAGCCCACCUGGUGCCCGGUGAGGGCCCCCGGUCGGUUGGGCGCUGGUGAGCCCUAGUGCCCAGUGAGGGGCCUGAUCAGUUGGAGCCUGGUGUCUGGUGAAGGCCCCUAGUUUGUUGGUCCCGGGGAGCCCCAGUGUUAGAUGAGGGGCCUGGACAAGUGCUGGUGCCUGGUAAAGGAGCCCUGUUUGUUGGGUCCUGGUGAGUUCCUGUGUGCGGUGAAGGGCCUGGUUGCUUGAGCCCUAGGGCCUGGUGAAGGCCCCUGGUCAGUUGUGCCUUGCUGAGCCCCGGUGCUCAGUGAGGAGCUUCGUUGGUUUUGCCCAAGUGCCAGGUAAAUGGCCUUGCUGGUUGGGCUCUGACGAGCUCUAGGCCCUGUGAGGAGCCUGGUUGGUCAGGCCCUGGUGCCUGGUAAAGGCUCCUGGUCAGCUGGCUCUGGUGAGCCCUUGUGCAUACUGAGGAGCUUGGUGGGUUGGGCCCCAGUGCCUGGUAAUGAUGCUGGCUGGUUGUGCCCUGACAAUCCCCAGUGCCUGCUCUAGAGCCUGGCUGGUUGAGCCUUGACAAACCCCGUGGUCUUGUGGCAGCCGUUGAGGCAGCAGCCAGCAGAGCCCCAGGGUGGUUCUCCCUGUCCAGCCCCACCAUGCCAGGCCAGGGGCCAUCAAAGGGCCAUCAAGCGUUGGUGGUGCUGGUGGCCACGCUAGGCUGGCUGCUGGCCCUGCAGUUGCUGCUUGACCUGCGGGCACUGGGGCUGCUCUGUGGUGUGCUGGUGGCACUGGGUGGCUGGCUGGGCCCCCGUGCCUUUAGCCCUCCUGGCCGGCGUCUGCGGCUGGAGCGCUUUGUCAGCUCCCUGCGGCCCCUGCCUAGCUGCCCGGUGGCUGAGGAGCGGCUGGAGAGGGAGAUCUCCAGCACUGUCCACAAAGUGGUGCGGGAUUUCGUCGCUUCCUGGUACCGCACUGUCAGCAGCGAGCCAGCCUUCGAAGCCGAGGUGGAGAAGGCUAUGACAGGCCUGGCCACUGAGCUGAGGCGGCGGAUGGGGCGAGUGGACCGCCAAGCCCUGGCUCGUCGCCUCCUCCUCCUUUCCGGCCAUCACUUGCAGAGCUACCUGCAGGCCCGUGAGGCCGUGAGAGGUGACCCUGGCGGCAGCCGGACCCUGUGGGAGGAGUACAGUCGGUUGGCAGGGCCGCAUCCUGCCCUCCGCAGCCCAGCAGCUGAGGUGGGCUAUACCCGGGCUGCUGUGGAGACGCUGCUGCGGGCACUGGUGCCCUGGCCCCACCUGGAGACACGAACAGGACGCUUUGUGGUGGUGGAGCUGGUUGCCUGUAACGUGCUGCUGCCAGCCAUCAAGAAGAUAGCCGAUCCUGACUGGAUCAAUCUGCUGCUCAUCGGGGCGUUCUCCAAGAAGCCCCGGGCUGAAGAGCCCCACCCUGCACCCCCAGUGCCUGACUUCUUGCCCUUUGUGGUGCAGACAGAUGCUGCCCCUGCUGGGCUGCCUCCUUCCCCGAGGGCCAUGGAGGUGCCCAGGCGAGAGGCAGGGCCUGCUGGUGAGGAGGGAGAGGACUCAGCGAGCGGGCUGUGCCACACAGAGGAGCCUUUCCUCUGCCCACGAGCCCUGGGCUCCCUCUUCCCCUGUGAGGGUUUGGAGCUGGAGUCCCCCAUGCAUGAUGUGGGCCAGGACACGGACCUGCUGGUACCAUCACCUGUGGGGGAGUGCCUUGAUGAACCCCUCCAGGACACCUCCACUGUGCUAGAGGGACCGUCCACUUCGGAGGAUGGUGUAGGGGACCUGGAGGAGGGUGUCGCCACCAGCUCGGAUGCUGGCCUGCUUCCCACCUCUGCUCUUACUCUGAACUCCUGCCCUGACAUUCAGAUCGACCCAGCAGUUGAGAAGGAGGAGGAAAGCCCAGCUGUUCCCAAAAAGCCUUCUUCACAGAGGCCUUCCAGCUUGGGGAAAGAUCUGGGAGCAGCAGAGGGCCCACCGCAAAGCCCCCUAGAUCCAGGCCAGACUCUGCCCCUGCUCUCGUCUUCCCCAACGGCUUCCAUCAGCACCUUCAGCUUUGAGCCACUCAGCAGCCCCGACGGGCCAGUUGUCAUCCAGAACCUGCGGAUAACUGGGACCAUCACUGCCCGAGAGCACAGCGGGACUGGCUUCCACCCCUACACCCUGUACACCGUCAAGUAUGAGACAGCCCUGGAGGGUGAGAGCGCGGGUAGCCUUCAGCAAAUGGCUUACCACACUGUGAACCGCCGUUACCGGGAGUUCCUCAACCUCCAGACCAGACUGGAGGAGAAACCGGAGCUCCGCAAGUUCCUGAAAAAUAUCAAAGGCCCAAAGAAACUGUUCCCGGAUCUCCCAUUUGGAAACAUGGACAGCGAUAAAGUGGAAGCCAGAAAAAGUCUGCUGGAAUCUUUCUUGAAGCAAUUGUGCGCAGUCCCUGAGAUUGCAAACAGUGAGGAGGUGCAGGAGUUCCUCGCUCUGAACACCGAUGCCAGGAUCGCGUUCGUCAAGAAGCCCUUUGUUGUCUCCAGGAUAGACAAGAUUGUUGUCAAUGCCAUUGUGGACACCUUGAAGACGGCAUUCCCCAGGUCGGAGCCCCAGAGCCCCACGGAGGAUCUUAGUGAGUCUGAAGUGGAUGGGAAAUCUCAGACAGAUGGGAAGAAGGCCAACAAGUCCAGGCUGAGGUUCUCGUCCAGUAAAAUUGCUCCAGUGCUGAGUGUGAGCGAAGCGCACGACAGGAUUGUGUACUCCGUCAGGGAGGGCACUGCUGUCUCUGGCACCCUGUCACUGGCUGCUAUGGAGUCCUUCAUCCAGAAGCAGGAGAAGCUGUUGGAGGCAGUCCCCAGCAAAGCUCCCGAAGGCGAGGGAGGCAGAGAAGCUAAGGAAAGCUCUGUGCAGGAGGAUAUGGACAGGCUGGGCACGUCGGAGCAGGGGGCACAUCUGGAUGCAGACUCUGACUCUGAGACAGCUUUGGCUGACCUGGCCCUGGACGUGCUUCGUCUGCUGCUGAUGGAUCACUGGAGCUGGCUGUGCACAGAGAACAUCCAGAAGGUCUUCCACCUGCUCUUUGGGACCCUCAUUCAAAGGUGGCUGGAAGUCCAAAUGGUUAACCUGACCUGCACCCAGCGUUGGGUCCAGUACCUCCAGUUGCUGCAGGAAUCCAUCUGGCCUGGAGGAGUUUUACCAGCAGUGCCCAAACCGGCCAGGACAGAGGAACAGAAGAAAGCGGCAGCAGAGCAGGCCCUGCAGAGCCUGAUGGGCAUCUUGCCUAAUGUGAUCCAAGAAAUCCUCGGAACCAGUAAAUGUCGGAUGAGCUGGAACCUGGUACUGGAGUCCCUGGGCCAGCCUGUGAUAAACAGGCACCUGGUUUUCUGCCUCUUGGACAUUCUGCUGGAGUUCUUGGUUCUGAAGGGCUCCGGCGAUGAGCUCGAGACUGCAGCUGUCGCGCCGUCUGCCUCUAGUGGCCUGGACAAAGCAGGCUUUUCAGCACAUUAACCAGGGCUGGUGUAGCCAGCAAUGGAGGAGAGAAACAGCCACAGGCAUGGGAUGAUUUGAUUUUCAGUAUUUACUGGACAUGUCUCGGAGCUUCUCGUAAAGAAUUUUUCCAGCCAGUGCUAAAUGCGGCUGCUUCCAGGCUUCUCUGUUUUGGCUGGGUGAUGGAUUAAACCCAGUGUCAGGGGCUGAAGAUGCUUUUCUGCCAUGCAGCAUCUGUUCCACUGCAGACCUGAUGGAGAGCCUGGAAUGAAGAUGCCUGACCUCUGCUGAGCCAGACAGCCUGAGAGGGAUAGCAGGCUGCCCACAAACCCGCUUGUCUUGCCCCACGUUUCUGAACAUCUCUAACAUCUAAAGGCAGACAGCGCACAAGAUUUGCCUUUGUGGGCUCAGGCUCCAGCUGGCACUGGCACACAGAGACUUGAUGUCACAGUAUCUUGCUGACAGACAUCUCUCCAGGACAGGUGAAGGGAGGACCAAAUGCUGUCCCUGCUCUCGAAGCAGCCUGCCCUGUGCCUACGCCGCCCCAUCCAUUUUACUGGAAGGAAGAUGGGGAAAGAAUGGAGCAUGGAGAUGUGGUGGCAGCCCUGAAAUCAGCAGCAGGGACCCAUCCCCACUGCCCAAACAACUGGGAGGUCAAAAACAAUGCAGAAAUCCUUAGGGACCAAGCUGUUAGUCCUUAGGGACAAAGAUAAGCUGACUGCCACUGCUCAGACUCUUGUUCUGGCAUCUCCUGCUGCCUGAACAGUGGGAGGCAAGUAGGGUAGACUGUGUUCCUGGAAAAGAGAACUGUCACCAGGCUAAAGAGGAAUGGUAGCUGAGCUGGCCUUUAGGAUUACCUUGUACUUUGCCUGCUGAGUCACAUCUUAGUCCCAGAGGCUGUCACCUGGAAGGCACAGGAGAAAAGGCACUGGAGCGUGAUGCACAGCAAGUAAAUCAGCUCCCGCGCGAGAGUGCUUGUCACAGUAAGACUCCUCUGGAAGAGGAGUGAGCAUCUCUGAGCCCGGGAGGAAUACCAGACGCGUGUCAUGGGCAGCCAAUGUGUUAGACCACAACAACAGGCUUGCGAGCACCACCGUAGCUCUGUUGAUGAUUGCUAUUUCACCGUGCUUUGGUUUACUAUGCCUGCUAUGAGAACAGCUGUGUGCAGAGGGCUCUAGAAAGCUUGUCAGGUCACGAUGUCCUGUGCCACCCAGCACAGAAUGGCAUGUCAAUUUGGCAGCUGCUUUUCCGGGUCAUCCAAGACUUGAGUGGUUUUGCAGGCUUGUGCUGCCCAGCUGUCAGGUUUGUGACAGGGAAAAUGGACACAGAGACUAUGGACACGGAGAAUAUGCACCAACAGACCAGUUCAGUGACCUUUUUGGUGUAUAUCCUGGGAGAAAUAUGAACUGACCGGUGCUGGACUCUGCUGAUCAAGGGGACACCGCUCCUGGUGUUGUCUACGGAUUCAAGUGCUUAGAAGAGGAAACCUCACGAGGGAGGCGUGCAGGAUCACAGCUGGCUUCCGUAUUACGGGACCAAAGGGUGCAUUUCAUACAGCCUGCUGUUUCUUGGAGCUGGAUGCUCUGUGGCAUGUUUGGAGGGAAGGUGUUGGAACUCCAACAUAUGUACCACUGGGAGCGUAUUCUGCCCUUUCCAGAGGCAGCUGCUUAAUAAUGGACACAUGGCUUUCCAGGGAGUGUGAAACCAGAGAAGCCAUGUGGAGAUCUUUGGCCUUUCUCCUGGAAGAAAGUGAAAGACACCCUGAGAAGCAGGGGCUGUGCAGACCCAUCUCCACAUCCCUUGGGCACUGCUGCUUAGGAAGUUCUCCUCGAUACUGGUCCUGGAGGAGGAAAGCUGGUAAGCUGUAAGGAAAUAGAGAAUGUCUGAAAAUGAGAAAUUCCACGUGAAAUUUGAAAUAUUAUGUCACAGAAAAAAAAAAUAGAGGGAGGGAAGAAAAACCUGAUACAAUGAAUGCUUGAGUCAUGUAUUAUUCUGGAUUAGCUCUGCCACGGAAAGAUCCCGUACACCCUAUGAAAUCCAUUACCUACAAGCCAGUGAACAUUUGUAGAGCACAUGAUGUGGGGAUCAGAGCUGAAGCCAAGUUCCCCUGUAUAAUAUCCACCCCAGGGUAGGUUGGUCCACUUCCAGUGUCAACAGCCAGAGGAUUAAGCAUUUAUCUCUGCAGAACAGUGGAUAAUUAAUACCAGAUCGAACUAGGGACUAAGCUCAUGAGAGCUUGCUUGUGACUAGAUUUGUGACCGAGUGUGGCUUUAUUGCCCGCGGGCGAGUUGUGGGGAGUGGGUUGAGGUUUUCUCUGUAGCACACGGGGCGGACACUGCCUCUGUGAUAUGUGCCUUGUAGCAGAGCAUCAGGAGCUGCAGGGCUUUGAGCUGGGACGACAUUGGGCUUUCCAGUCAUGGCCACAGGCAUUAGGGGUGUAAACCCAUCAGCAGACCUUUCCUUCCAGCCGAACGCUGGAAGAAUGGAAUCAGGAUGCCGUGAUCUGCCAUCUUCUGGAUUUAAAUGUAAAAUCCAGGUUUUGGCAAUUCUGGCUUUCUUGAAAUAAAUUAAUACCAUUAUCCUGGCCGCAGUCCAGUUCAGGUAAUUAUAUUCUUCCUACCUUAAUGCCACUCCAGCCCCCUGUCUCCACUGGAUAUGCUAUAUUCUAAUUCCUGUCUGGAACUUGCUUAUGUUACAAAGUCUUUGUAUUUUUUUCCCCCCUCUGAGUACAACUGGUGCACAGAGCGUUAGCCGGCCCCCAGCGCUAUGCUGAGCUGCUAAAAUAGUCGAGAGAACCUGCCUUAGACGUUUGAUUUUUGCCUGGUGAUGUCCUGGAGCAUCUUUCCUGACUUGUAAGCCUGCUGAGUUGGGAAAGUGGAUAACAUAAAAGAUCAGAGCAAGAGCUGCGGUCCUGUUUAACCCACUGGACUGUUAGAAACGCGCUUCUCUCUUCUCCGAAUGCCUUAGGCUGGCCAGCGUGUUAAUGGGAGGAAGCCCAGGCCUCCUGGCUGGUUGUCUUACCUUCCUGUGUUGCCAUUUCUUCAAAGAUUUUUGAAGGCUGAAGUAUGUCCUUACUUCCAGGCGAGGGAGGAGUCCUCUUGUCUUCGAGGAGAAUAUUGAGUGUGUCCUAAUGUAAAUAUGUCCCAAUGUCCCUGAUUAAUCUAGUGGAGCGGCCCUGCCUUGAUUUGAGGUUACCAUCCAGCCCUAAAAACCCUGUUUCCUGCAGUGCUAAUGCUUAAAGCUGGCUUCGAGUACCCGCUUUCCCUUUUGGAGCUUUCCCUUUCUUGUCCACGUUGGUGGCUCGCUGGCCUUUACGUCUCCUGCGAUUGAUGCAUUGGUUUAGUUGGUUGGUUUUUUGGUUUUUUUGUUGUUUUUUUUUUUUUUUUUACCUUUUGAAAAGUAUUUAAAGUCGCCUUCUUUCCUUACCCUUUCAAUUACGCUCUCUUCAUCUCCUGGCCUCGCUGCGCGGCUGAAAAGGCUGCUUGAGGAGAGGUACUUGAGGAGAGCGUCCCGUAAUUCCGCGUACUUCCUUCCUGUUCCCAGGCCCCUUCGCUCUUCCACGGCCCUCGAGGACAAGGAGAGUUUGAGGGACGUGCUAGAGGAGGGGACAGCGGGGGUGAGGAUCAAAGACCAUAAACCACUGUUUAAAAAAAAUAUAAUGCCCACUGCUUCUCUCGAGUGUCACAUCUGGCAGAGCCUCAUUAACCUUCUGUUUCCCCCUCCUACUCCUUUGCCCCUGAAAAUCAACAAAGCCAAACAUAACAAGUUGCCCUGACUGAAGAAGGCUGAAGUGUGUGUGCUUAGUGUGAAAAAGCAAAAGCAAAGCCAUUGGCUAAAGCCCCUUUUUCCAUGCAGGCCACUUCACAUUUAUUACACGGGAAAGACGGAGCUCUUUAAAUCCCGAUGCUCUUUAUAGUUGAGCUCUUUAACUUUCUCCCUUCCUCCCCUUGCAGGCUUCAUUCUCCCCUUGUUCCGCUCCUUCCGCUCUGCUCCUUUCUUUUUUGUCCUGUGAGAACGAGUCUUUUAAUCCCCUUGUACUGCAGAUUAAAGCUAUUAUAGCCUCCCCAACCUGACGUUUUCUCAGAGAGGCUCACAGCCAGAUCUUUAUGAGUGCUCUCUGUCUGUCUGCUGCUGCCUUUCUUCUCGCCACACUAAACCUCCGUUCCUGACCUUUCCCUGAAGAGGGAAGGGCUGUGGCGAGCAAUCCCAUGUCGGCAGAGGCUGGUCUCAGCGGGGCUCGGGGUGCAGGAAAUUAAGACCCAUGGAAAUUAACAAGUAAAUAAGGGGAGAAAGAAAAGACGAUGUGGGAAUUAAGAGACGGAACCCGAGCAAAAUUCAGCCUGCUUGGAAACCAAAUGCAGGGUUUGGGGCUGAGUUUUGCAAACGGUCCUGUCUUUACGAGGAGCCAAACCGUAAACUCGGGACUCAUUUUUAGUAGCAGAUCAGGGUUACCUGAAACCUAAGCUACAGUCCAACUCCCCGCUUCGUAUUUGACCCAAAAAAUAAUGGAUCCAGGCACCUGUAGUACACAGGUAGACAUUGACUUUGUGAGCUUUCAGGGACAGGGGGGACUGCUCGUACUAUGGGACUGAGUCCACGACAGCGGACUUCUCAGUAUUUGUCAUCAAAUGACGGUACCUCACCUCUGAGAUUGCAGGGCGGACCGAUGUGCUGGUCCUUGUCUUGUACACAUCAUAAAAGCGCAAAGGACGGGGGUAGCUUGCCUAAAAGCGCGUGCACUAAUGGCAGAAACAUCUUGCCUACAGAGUUUUCUGGCUCUCGUCACCAGUUCUGCCACUGUGAGGUGUCCUGCAAAUGUCCCAGAGUUCUUGGCGAGGCACCAAGGAAGGUGAAAAGCCCCAAGAUGAAUUCCCCAGAGGAAUGGUGUAAAAUUACCCCAUUCAGGCCCCAUUUCAGGUUCGUGUACAACAUACGAGGAUGCGUUGGUGAAUAGGAGGGGUGUCUGUCGCUGACACGCUCUUUGAGCAGGGAGGAGGUAGUUUGGUUUCUUCUUCUUUUGGACCUCCAGCGUGAACCUGGCCGGGUUGUUCUGAGCCAGUGUUUCACCCAACUGCAAAGCUCUGGGUGCUGUGUGAACCCCGUCAGCUUGAAGUGAAGAAAAUCAUGCAAUACCUACGCCGAGCGAGUACAAAAGGUCAAGUUUGGGUCCUGCCAGGCUUUACUUGCAUCCAUUUAUACGUGGGUUAUGUUUUACCUCCCUUGUAAAAGGACAAACAGAGAAUUUGCUUAUCUUUAUAAGCACCUUGAGAGCACGCUGUGGGCUUGGGAGACAUUUGAAGGGUUGAUUAAACGCCUCCAGGUUUUUCUAAAAUAGGUGGUGACCGCAUAUAAGAAGAUUUCCCGUACUUCAGGGCAGCAGCAGCAGCGCUGCGAUGACAAGCCAACUCAUGGCACUUGUGCUCUCCUAUCGCAUGCCCGAGCCAACGCGGAGGCUUCUGGGGACAGCGGCGGAAUUGCUUGCAAAGCAAAUAAUAGAAGUGCAACUGUCCCCUUUUGGGAACUCACUUCGGGGCAAAAGUUCCCCUGGCAGCCCAGCUUUUGCCCAUAAUGAAAUUGAAACAGGAGCUCGCCCCCAGAGGGGCCGUACGUGUGAAACUCUGCCAUGUCGAAUCCGUAUGAAUCCUCCGCAAGGAAAGCCCCAGCCCUGUAAUUACUGGCUUUCCAGCAAGCAGCCUUUUCUUUCUCUUUGUGUGGGCCCGGUGCCCCCCUUCCUCCCCCUCCGUGCGCGCAUGAUAAGAGGAUAUUUCUAAUGAAAAUCACUGGGCAGAAGCGGAGAACAAAAGCGGGGGCACAGCGCGCUCGCUGGUGGGGAUAUUAGAGGCGCUGGGCUCCCACCUCCGUCCGGUCUGCUCUCCGCUGGGAGAGCGCGGUGGGCACGGCGGGCUGGGGAGGCUCUUAUUAACCUUAAUCUGCAGAAAAGGAGCUGAAACCAGGCCGCGGCCUGGUUUCAUAGCUACAGCGGCUCGCUCCCAAGCGUGCAGCCUUAUGAAGGGGCAGUCUCCCCAGCAACUCUAAUGCGUUUUUGCACCGGUGCCGUCUAAUCUGAGGUAGAAAUGUCACCGCCGUCAGACCCCAGGCUGGCAGCUCCCAGCCACGGCCGCGCUGGUAAGCACAUAUCCAGCUUCAACCUUCUGGUUGCUGGGGUGAAAGGGCCUCUUUAUCUCCGCGGGGAGAGGCAGAUGAAUCCCAGGCUCAAACAAGGGACCUGCUUUUCUGGGGGGUUUCCCCCCCCGACCCCCCCCCCUCCAGUUCAAGGCCUCUUUAUUAUGUCUUUUAAUUCUCAGCUGAGAGUGGGAGGGAGCAAUAAGGCUGGAGAAAUGAUGGUAGAGGGGGGAAGAAAGGCCCCAGCCACCGGUGUGUGAAAAGGGAACGCAGCGCAGGGAUUAAAAAUGUCAGCUUCAUGGGAAGUACUUGAUAUUUAAUAGCUUCACUCGAUUGCCGCAAGGCAGCGGUGACAUGCACAACGCUGUAAGGGCAGCUGUGAGCCACGUCCCCGGGAGAAUCGGUGCCAUUUCUGGGAACCUCGGGCCCUAUCGCGAUAUGGGGUGGGGAGGAAGAGCCACGUGCGGCUGAGCUUGUAUUGCUUAAGAUGAAGCUGUCGGGUUGGUGGCUCAUCCUUUCUGUGGCCGGCUGGCACAGGGUCCAUGCUUGCCACAGAACGAACCGAGCUGAGAUUUCUUCCCCCUGACAGCUCGUGCCCUCCGUCUGAUGGCUGACAGCGCUUGUGACUCGUUUAUUGCGAAAACGCUCUUGGAUGGUCUGUCCGCAACAUAUUCUCUAGUUUGCUCAUCUCUGCAGCUGCUGGCGGAACUGUGGCCUUUUAAAGCAUUAGCACUCCGUAAUCUCCUCUUCUCGACAGAUGCUCUGAUGCUAUCUGCCGCCUGUACAGUCGAGGCCACUGGAGGAGUUCGUUUGUGUGACGGGAGCAUGCUCCUGUGCCGCUUGCCUCCCGUGCCCCUCUGGACGUGGCCCUGGGAGAGGAAGCUGCUCCUCUAGAAGAAGGGCUGUUGGAACAAGUCAAUAACUCUGAAGGGAUGGAGAUUGCUUCUUGUUGCUCAUUUUUGUGACAAAAGGAUGAAGACAAAGUGACCAGAGCUUUCCCAGCAUGACUGACUGGUAAAGAGCCCUCCCAGCGCCGUACUUCAUCACUAUCUCAAAAGGCGAUGUGCUUUUAUUGAACCGAGCCUGCUGUGGGCUCUGUACACUCCAUCA
Molecule: RNA transcript, 10973 nt
Organism: Chroicocephalus ridibundus (black-headed gull)
Lineage: Eukaryota; Metazoa; Chordata; Aves; Charadriiformes; Laridae
Gene: SNX19
Gene name: sorting nexin 19
Exons: 13
Source: RefSeq, a predicted model, not a curated record